RNAcentral lists this long non-coding RNA (2251 nucleotides) under Capsicum annuum. RNAcentral describes it as "long non-coding RNA (CANN_LNC014108)". The record is from RNAcentral. Lineage: Eukaryota; Viridiplantae; Streptophyta; Magnoliopsida; Solanales; Solanaceae.
UCAUAAUGUUGGGAUCCAUAGCCUGAGGGCCCCUGAUUAUUUGUAAUAAGUUGUAACCUAACAAAAGGAUUCACUUUAGUCACUAAAGUAUUAGAUAAAGCAUUCGCUAAUAAUUUUCACUAAAUUUUUUCAUUAAUCUUUCACAGGCCACUACUUUUUACAUAAGAUAGUUCAAUUUCGCAUCCUACAUCUAAAAAUUACUCCAUCUACCUUAUUUAAAAUCUUGCAAAUAGAACCCAAUUUGGUUUAAAAACCAGAAGAAAGAAAAAGAAGUGAAGCUUGUUCUUUUGUGCCUCCAGAGCAUCCACUGGCCUCAUCCGUUCUCUAAUGAUAAUGUUUACACCUUGCUCAUCGUGAUCCAUCCAUACGUAAAUUUCAAAGAACAAAGAAACAUACUAAAUAAAAAUACAUGGAAAAGAAAGUGAACAUACUUAGUUGAGGGGCUUUGAUGCUCAAUUCAUUAUCUUUCCUGUAGAUCCAUAGAAAAUGGCAUUCUCCUUUCAUGCCUGUGCUUGCCUGCAUCGGUACUUCACUGCCUAAAUAUUCUUCUAGUCGUUCGCCUAUAUUGGGAAAGGGAUAGGGACUAUAACACCUCAUUCCUGAUUUCUUGGUAUCUUCGGAAAAUAUUGUAUUAGGAUAGGACCACGUAAAAUAAUAAGCGAUUCUGAGUUUUAUACUUAUCCUCUUUCCCAAAUACACAUUUCUCUCGAUCGAGCCAAGCGAAGAUGGACUGGACCAUGUUCUUCUACUAAUAUCCUUGUCGUGCCUUCCUCAUUAGCAGCGUAGCAAGGCCUCUGAGUUCUACUCCACACUUGUAGGGCCCAUCCUAUACCCAAUUUCCGUCUGCCCUUCCCUCGAAAUCAUAGCUAGUAUUGGUAGUGUUCCCUUGUCCUAGUUGAUUUCCUUAAUCCAGUCAUGCUUUUUAUAAGUUUGAUAGAUACGAUCGAGCUAUUUGGGUUUAGUCCAUUAGCGAAUACCUCUGCCUUUCUAUCAUUGGACAUUUUUGGAAAUCACAUCUUCUUGUGAAAUCUAGUAAUGAGCUCGCACAUAGAAUCUUGUUCCCCUACUUUUUUUUGAAAUUCAUCUGAUGGGGAUGCAUCCUUUUGGACCAUGGGGCUUCAAAUAAGCAAUGGACCAUCCUGUUGAACGAGUUUGUGGAUUUCCCCUGUAGAUGCGAGUACCAUUCCAAAUCCUUUCCUGAUAACGUUUCUUCAAAUUUGUUUACCACAACUAAUUUAGCCUCUCUCGAGGUUAUGUUGGUGCACUAUUUAUCACCUUUAUGAACAUGAUUAGGUAUUCCCAGGUGUCCAUACUUCCCUCAUAUUUAGUGACGUUUGGCAUUUUGAAACUCGACGGAACAAAACAUUUAUUGCAUAAGGCAUGUAGGGUGAUUUGAUGUGAUGCCUCGAUUCAGAUUUUCCUCAGUGGUAGCAGUCUAGCUAUGCAGUCUACCCUAGAAAAAACUUAUAAGUAAUGUCUCUUUAACUCUUUUCCUAUCACUUUAAACAUGGCCUCUAGCAUGGAUACGCCCUUGAGCCGACCACGUCGGUUAUAUUUCCUCAUUCCUUUCAAAAUGCAAGGAACCUGCUGAGCUAAGCUCAUCUACCGCUCGCUCGCCCUUUCGUCAUGUGCCUAUACAUUGGCUAUCAGCUCCCCAAAGUGAUCGAAAAAAUUCUUCAGGAGCCCUUGCAGCCAUUGUAUGUCGUCUGUUCCUGCCUCUGACCAACAUGCCUCUUACUCCUCCUCUGUAUAUUCACGUUCAUUAUUUUCAUGACAUAAUGCAAUUUUUCAUCUUCAGGAGUCGUUUCUCCUCCUCAAGUUUGAGGUAUCCAAUUGUUAAGUCUCUAGCAUCUCCAGAAGAUCAAGUCCCCACACACCUCUUUGUCAAUAUUGGCCAUGACCUACUUUCCUACAAAGCAGAACACAGAGAAAGAACUGGCAAAAAGCAAGAAGAUAAAACAUACAGUUGUGGUGGCCCCAUGGUGGGCACCAAACUGAGCAUGUGUUAUGACUUAGCUACGAGUUAGAAGUGAGAGUUUGCAAAAUAACCAAUAGAUAAAGUAAAUAAUAAAAUAUACAACCAAAGUAAAUCUUAAAAACAAAUCUGGGAUGAUGAUGCAGUGGGAGAUUCCUUAGUUACAAGUCAAACUUGUUCGAAAUAGAUAUAAAUUUAAGUAGAGAAAACAAUGAGCAAAGACAACAACGAAAACUUAAUAGUAAAGCUAAAGAAAUUUUAUUGCUUGUGAAAGGG